This 174-nucleotide small nucleolar RNA is filed under the name Basidiobolus meristosporus CBS 931.73. RNAcentral's name for it is "small nucleolar RNA snR35". It matches the Rfam family "small nucleolar RNA snR35". Lineage: Eukaryota; Fungi; Basidiobolomycota; Basidiobolomycetes; Basidiobolales; Basidiobolaceae. The record is from Rfam by way of RNAcentral.
AUCGUGCGGCACCGUUUAUAAUCCGUGUUGCUCAUAAGCCUCUUAACACCAUAGGCUGGUUAAUAAACCGUAGUUUAAGAGCGUCAACAUAAGCGUAGACGAAAAGAACACCUUAGCACCCUUUCGUGGCAUCAUAUUAUUUCAAUGGGAUGAGGGUCGGGAGCUCAUACAUCG